Molecule: non-coding RNA, 1497 nt
Organism: Oryzias latipes (Japanese medaka)
Lineage: Eukaryota; Metazoa; Chordata; Actinopteri; Beloniformes; Adrianichthyidae
Source: RefSeq, a predicted model, not a curated record
CCUUAGCUGACCCCUCUCGAUGUGGAGGAGCAGAGGAGUGACUGAGCUUUUUUUACCCUAUCUCUAAGAGAGCGUCCGGCCGCCCUGCAGAGGUAGCUCAUUUCCGCCGCUCGUAUUUGUUCUUUUCCCAUCAAGCCAGUCCGGCUUGUUAGGACUCCUUCUUCAUCUUUACAGCCUCCCUUACUUCCAUUGUCCGCCACAGGGUUCAGAGAUUGCCACCGCGACAGGCACCUAAGACCUUGUGAUCCGAACAGCAGCAGAGACAACAUUGACUCGGACCAACCCUCCUCUUCCUCAUCUAAUCCCUUGGUCCUCUUCAGCUCCAUCAAUAUCCUGCAGCUUUGGGAUUGCACUGGAAGAGAUGGUGUAGCCCAGAAGAACCAAAGUGGACCAUGUAGACGCUCUAAAACUUAAUGUGCAUCGUCUGGCAACAUGUGGAUGUGCUUGGUGGCUCCACCCAGGUUUGCUCUUUAACCAGUUUCAUUGCAAUUUUUUCCCCCCAGUGCAUCCAUUCCCUGCACCCUGUCCUAGGUUUGGAUCACAUGUGGUACAGUCUAAGCACACUGCGAAAACAAGCCCCUAGAAAUAAGUCAGUCUCCUCCCAUUGUUAUUUAUUUAUUUAUUUUUUUGCUUAUUUAAAAAAAAAACUGCCCAUAGGGGUAAGAAAAAUAGUUUUACCACUACUGUUCCUAGGCCAAAUAAGAUAGAACUUUUCCAGCUUCUUCCAGUUGGAAAACAGCCAGAACAUUGACCUACAGGAGGGCAUCUGACCAACACUUCUAUGAAAUGUCAAAGUAAAAGAACUUUUAUGUCUUUGCCUCGUUGGAGUUAACAUAAAGAAUACCCUUCCAGAAGUCUCUCCAAGUCUUCAGUGCAUAAAUGGUAAAUCUUUAUCCCAUGGAAAGUGCUAUAUACUGGAUUUCUCUCCCUGAUCUAACAGAACUUCACUUGCAGUCCACACUUUGUCUAUUUUUCUGCUUUUUUUCUUUUAAGAUACUGUAUACUUAACCCCUGAUGCCUAUUGAUACAAAUAUGCAUCAAACCAGUUCAGCUCCAAAAUUACAUUCGUUUAACAUCGAUUUGAAAGCAAAAACAUACAGUUCAUAGCUGGAAAUAAAUUAAGAUACCAAGGGGUUGAACACUGCUGAUUGAUUGCUGGAAGUGUUUUUUUAUCUGUCAAUAUAAAACAUUGGUGUUAUGCAGAGGGCAAAAGAAAAAAGAAAAACCAAGAGUACUAAACAGCUGUAGGCUCUGAACUAUAAUCUGAGCAGAUUUAUAUUUAAAAAUGUAAUCACGCAGACUUGGAGAGCAACAACAUUUAUUUUAUGGAUAUAAGCAAAUAAAUGAUAUUAACAUACAUUUUGGAACAACAGUAAACCCCAGCAAUUAGUUACUUUUCCAGUGACAUUUGAGACGGGUAUGCAUAUGUUUUUUUUUCCUCAAGUCAACGUCAUGGAACAACACUGAUGUAAAGGAACAAUCCCAGCACUGCAAAAA